Pleuronectes platessa (European plaice) is the source of this 3728-nucleotide RNA transcript. It is a transcript of the gene named protoporphyrinogen oxidase, with no coding region annotated. The record is from RefSeq and is a predicted model, not a curated record. Lineage: Eukaryota; Metazoa; Chordata; Actinopteri; Pleuronectiformes; Pleuronectidae. The transcript is spliced from 3 exons.
UCCCGAAGAAAUCCUCCUGCUCCUCUGUGUACUUCCUCCUGCUUUUAUCCCCUUCCGGACCAAACCUGCUCCUCUUCUGACCCUCGCUGCUUUUCUUUGCCUCAGCGUUGGGGCAUAGAUAGAAGUGGUGCUCAGGAGUAUCUCCAUCCUUGCAGUCCUGGUUUCUGCACAGGAAUCCAGGUUUGCACUGUGAGCCCUCGCCAUGAACCUCCAAACAUCUCUUGCAUGCUCCCAAUCUUUUUACUGCAGCUCUCUUCUCUGCUAGUUUCAGUGCUCGGAACGGUCUGCAAAAAUAGAUCUUUGUCCUGUGUUUAACAUCAUUGCAGACCACACACCCUUCUUGGUCUUUGCUUGAUUUGGUUGACUUGGUUCCGGCAUAUCUUGGCUCCACCUUGGUUUCUCUCCUGCUUGGCUCUUCCUCCUCCAAUUGCUCAAGCUGUUCAUAUAUGCUUUCCUGGCCUUUGAGGAAUGCCAAGAGACUGUCGAACCGAUUACUUGAUGUCACAUCAUUUCUUCUGUCAGCUGCAUACACAAGCCAUUCCUUCUUGAGUGUCUCCGGGAGUUUACUUUCAAUGGACUUAGUCACAAGGGGAUUUUUAAUAGCACCUGUGUCCCCAAGGUCACUCAAAUCUUGAAGUGCUUUCCCCACAGCUUGAAUUAAGUCGACGAUUUUCCGUGGCUGGUGACUUUUAACAGCUGGCAUCUUCUGUAUCCCCUCGACUAUUUCUAUGGCAAUGGAUGUUUGGUUGCCAUAGCGGUUCUCUAGCACACGGAAGAUGUCAUCAGACGUGUUGUAAGCCGUGAGCCGAAGGUCUCGUGUGAUUUUAUCCUCCAGGCUGUCUAGUAGCUGGACCUUUUUCACUUCUUUUGAGCCAGUCGGCCUGGUAACUCCCGUCAAGCAGAAGGGAGCUAUCCUGGUACGUAGGGCAUUUCAGGAAGCAAAGGGUGGAAGUGCACCUGUGAAGGACUCAUGGGAUACAGCGCUCUCAGAUGCACUUAGGGAGGAUGCAAUAAAGCUCUUUGAGGAGUACGGCCAACUUGCCAAAGUCAAGUUCACCAGAGCACUGACUCCCCCAAGCUUUACUGAUGGUCCCUUGGCGAUCACAUUCUCUGAUGGUAGCGAGCAUACUUAUGGAGCAGUGAUGUACCUCCGAUGGAGUUCAGACCAGGGCCCGGUCAUCCGGCUGGUGGAGUCCAAAGCAAAACUUACUCCUUUGGAUCAAGGAGGGGAUGCUGUCAAAGCAGAAAUGUGUGGAGCAGUGUUUGCCUCACGGCUGAAAAAGUACUUUGAACUGCACAGCCGAAUCCAGAUUCAGAGGUGGUACCAUUUUGUUGAUAGCCAGACCAUCCUUGGUGCCAUACAGCGGGAAAGCUAUGGGUAUCAGACGUUCUUCGCAAAUAGGAUCGGGGAGAUUCAAAGCAACACAAGGGUCCAGGACUGGUGGUGGAUUCCUGGCCCACAAAACAUUGCGGACGUUAUAACAAGAGGAGCCAGCCAUCAAGACCUUGAUGAGGACUCAGAGUGGCAAAAAGGUCUGAAGUUUCUAAGCUUGCCAGUGGAGGAGUGGCCAAUCACAUCAGCCAAAGAACUCGCAGCCACUGCCAGGGAGAAUGUCACAAAACUUCAAAAAAAGGCAUAUGUUGCUGCACUGACCAGAGCUCAGGCUAAGAAGCAGCCAGUGGAGCACGAACUGAAACAGGAGGCACAAACGGAGCAAAGGAGGCUACCUGCGGGGUCAGCAAUCCAAACGCUGGUGGAUGUCAGGAGAUACAGCACUCUGAGCCGUCUGGUAAAGACAGUUGCAUGGAUCUGGAGAGCGGCAAAACAGUUUGGCAAACCAGGUCAAGCCGUGGAGAGUCCAAAGUGGGAGGCAAUCUCCUCCACAGGAGUCAUCUCUGUAAGGGAACGAGAGGAUGCCCUGAGAGACAUUUUUCUUGCAGCACAAGAAAACACAACCUUCCCUGGCACCACGUUAGACAGGCUUGUGGUCCACAAAGCCAAAGAGACUGGGCUGCUGGUCUGUGGAGGCCGAGUGCAAAGCUUCAAGGAAGCUCAAGUUAGCAUCCCCCUCUUACCCUAUGGCGCCUGGGUGUCCGAGCUGAUAGCUCGAGAGGCCCACAAUGAAGGUCAUGAGGGAGUGGCUGGAACCCUCCUAAAAAUGAGGAGGAAGGCAUGGGUCGUUAAAGGGAGGAGGAUCGCACAAAAAGUUGUUGAUGGUUGCAUGGUCUGCAGGAAAAGAAAAGCAAAGACGUGUCAACAAGUAAUGGCUGACUUGCCGCCAGAAAGGACUGAACCUGCUGCGCCAUUUGAGUUCACAUCAGUUGACCUCUUUGGCCCUUACCAAGUUAAAGAUGACGUCAAGAAGAGAGUGACACUAAAGGUCUGGGGAGUUGUCUUUUGCUGCAUGGCAAGCAGAGCCAUUCACACCGAGCUGGCAAACACCCUGUCAACUGAAAGCCUCCUAAUGGCUUAUCAAAGGUUCACAGCAAUCAGAGGUCAUCCAAGAAAGAUGUUGUCGGACCCAGGCACCAAUUUUAUUGGAGCAAAACCAGUCCUGGAGGAGCUCUACAGGGUUUUAGACCUAGACAGAGCAAACCUUGAAGAGACCGCCGCAAGGAAUGGGACUGAGUGGCAGUGGAAAAUCCAUCCAGCCGAUUCUCCACACAGGAAUGGUGCUGCAGUGAGAAUUGUAAAGAGGGCCCUCCAGAGUCUUGGGAAUGAGGCCUCACUAAGCUACAGUGAGUUCCAGACAACUCUUUACAUCGCAGCCAACCUAGCAAAUGAGCGCCCAAUUGACGCAAGAGUACAGAGCAGAGAGGACUGCAUUCAGUAUGUCACACCCAACACUCUCCUACUGGGCCGGGCCUCUCAAAGUGGGGACUUGAAAACCUUCGACUUUCACAACUACCCGUACAAAAGACUGAGAGCGAUGCAGUCGGAGGUGACCAGGUUCUGGAGGACCUGGAGCCAACUCGCUGGUCCGAACUUAUUUGUCCGAAGCAAAUGGCAUACUGGACAAAGAAAUGUUGCCAUCGGAGAUGUUGUGUGGCUGUGUGACCAAAAUGCACUACGAGGGCAAUUCAAGCUUGGAAGAGUCAUCAGCACGACCCCAGAUGAUAAAGGCGUUGUAAGGGACGUCAAUGUAAGAGUUUUCCCAAGCUACUGUGUCCCGGUCACGAGAGCUCCGAAAGGCAAGUCAAUUCCUGGAAUCAGGAGGGAAAAGAUCCAAGCCACCGUCCUUCACAGGGACGUCAGGCGGCUCGUUGUCCUAUUACCUGCAGAAGAACAGACAGAAAGUCAAAAGCAGCAGGGAAAGGAGAACCAAGUUUGCCUUUGAAGCUGUCGAUCUUCACACCGUUUCCAGGCGAAGAUCGAGUGGGAGGUGUGAAGUCAAACUAACGCGAUAAUUAAGAAACUCACAUCGCAAGCUGGUAUGGAACCUUUCGGCAGUCCGAGUUUGCCGCACGGACUGUAAAGGAGGCGGCAGAACAUCUACAUAAGGAAGUGAAGAGAGAAGACGCAAACUGAAGCGUGCUUAGUAUCUGAUCCCGUGCAAACAAAUCUACAAACGCCAGAGAGGCAGCCGAUCAAUUUGGAGGAUGGAGUCGUAUCAGCCGAUCACAUCAUCUCUGCUCUGCCUGCUAAAGCCCUCUCGUCAGCCCUGCCUUCCUCCUGUCAACCUCUCAUCCAGGAGCUGCAGGACAUCGCCACGGUAACGGUCGCUGUG